This 87-nucleotide transfer RNA is filed under the name Candidatus Altimarinota bacterium. RNAcentral describes it as "tRNA-Leu". It matches the Rfam family "tRNA". Rfam says of the family: Transfer RNA (tRNA) molecules are approximately 80 nucleotides in length. The record is from RNAcentral. Lineage: Bacteria; Candidatus Altimarinota.
GCCCAGAUGGCGGAAUUGGUAGACGCGCCAGACUCAAAAUCUGGUUCCCGCAAGGGAGUGAGGGUUCAAUUCCCUCUCUGGGCACCA